Cinara cedri is the source of this 244-nucleotide non-coding RNA. NCBI's taxonomy places the organism in Eukaryota, Metazoa, Arthropoda, Insecta, Hemiptera, Aphididae. The record is from the annotation of a GenBank genome assembly.
CCAACUCUUUGUUUUGCCAAACAUUUUAGAUAACAAUCUCUUACAUAUUCGUAAUAGCUAUGUAUGAUAUUUAAAAAUAAUUCUACAUUAAUAUCUUGUUCCUUUGAUGAACUAUGCGUAUAAUUAUUACACUUAUGCAUUAAUGGUGAAAUUUAUGUAGAUCUUAUUGAAGAAUUCACUGUUCAUUUUCAGUUAUAAAUUAUCAAUCGAUUUCAGAGACCAUUCACUAUAUACCAUCAUAAAU